This 253-nucleotide ribosomal RNA is filed under the name uncultured bacterium. Its description in RNAcentral is "partial 16S ribosomal RNA". It matches the Rfam family "Bacterial small subunit ribosomal RNA", at positions 524 to 776 of the family's 1533-position model. The record is from RNAcentral.
UACAGAGGGUGCGAGCGUUAAUCGGAAUUAUUGGGCGUAAAGCGCACGUAGGCGGCGCUGCAAGUCCCAUGUGAAAUCCCACGGCUCAACCGUGGAAGUGCAUGGGAAACUGCAGUGCUUGAGUACUUAAGAGGAUCGCGGAAUUCCCGGUGUAGAGGUGAAAUUCGUAGAUAUCGGGAGGAACACCAGUGGCGAAGGCGGCGAUCUGGGAAGAUACUGACGCUGAGGUGCGAAAGCGUGGGGAGCAAACAGG